This is a non-coding RNA of Brachypodium distachyon (stiff brome), 129 nucleotides long. NCBI's taxonomy places the organism in Eukaryota, Viridiplantae, Streptophyta, Magnoliopsida, Poales, Poaceae. The record is from Rfam.
UCAUUACUUUCUCCGUCCAACAAAGAAUGUCUCAAUUUUGAUUAAAUUUUAAUACAUCUAUACCGUAAGUAGAUACAUCCAAAUUUUGACAAAUUUGAGACAUCUUUUGUUGGAUGGAGGGAGUAUAUA